CUAGGCCGAAACUCUGCGGAUCUAUUUCUCAAAUCCUUAUCAAGCCCAACACCUGCUUUCCUGCUUUCUCUUCGUCCCAUAGCAAGCUAAUUAAGAAGCAGCAGCAAGAAGACGAUAUUUAGGCGCCGAUCUUGUGUGUUUCGCUCCCACAAAAUCCAUCCUCGUAAUCGCGCUGUAGUUUUAUUUUCUUUCACGAGUUCUACCAGAGGAUCUCCAGUAUCGACUGCAAUUCCCACUGCAGCUUGCGGAUUCUUCACCACUUUUUCGCUGGCAUGUAUCGGAGCAUCAAAGCACCAUUCUUGCUACAGAGAGGAUUGCAUACAAUAGAUGGUCCUACUGAAACCUUGAAGAGUAAGAUUGUUGAGUUGAAGAAGAUGAGGAAAAGGAGGAAGCCCGAAAAGGAUCAGUUCCUUGUGGAGGUUCCGGAAUCGAAGUCCUUCCUUGACACAGCAACACUUCCAAUGGUUCUUACUGUUGCUGGUGUUGCACUUUUUGCAAAGCUGCUUAUGAUGCAUGAUGAUUCCAAAUCCCAAGAAAUGAUUGAACGCAAAAUAAAAAAUGCUCCUGCUGGUCAAGGCACAGUGAGAAUGCUCACUCGUGAGGAGUGGGAGGAAUUUCGAGAAGUAAGGCCAAGGACUCCUUUUGAAUCUAAGCUUGCUCGUCCAAAUGCACGAAUAAGAACUGGAGAACCAGUGCGGAUGGUCCUGCAGAAACUCAAUAUCUUCAUUGCAUAGGAUUGAAAUAUAAAUUUAUCAUCAUAAAUGGAGUUGUCCGUGAAGCCUUUUGCAAUUGACAUAUAUAUGAAGCUGCAGAAUCAUUUUGAUUACAAAAAGAAGAUCAAUCAGAGGAUUUGAAAGAUUGGACAAUAGAUGUUCUAACAAAUGCACUUACACGGGCUGAAGAAAGUGUUAGGCACGGCUCUAAGUAGUUCCUAUGAAAAUAAAUUUUCCUGGAGCAGAGUAAAAUAUGUGCAAGAUAUUUGCCUGAUGUAGAUGAUUUCCUCAUGGCAACUUGCGGAUAGGUUGGUAAGGCAUUGAAUUGGCAACUAUUUUGGUAUAAAAGCUUUGGCAAGCUGCUGGAUUUCAUAGUAAUGUGUACCCAGUAAUCAGUCCCGUGGACUUUGUUGAUCUAGAAAGUCAAUCCUGAGCUUCUUGAUUCUCUUCAUUGAAAUAAGAGCAUAGUUUAUUUUUCUGUUGUCCCUCAUAAUUAGUACGUAGGACCAGCAGAUAGUUUUUGCGGCAAUUAUCUUGCUGUUACCAGCACUUGAGUAAUCGACUUGUAAGCUACAUUACAUAAAUUUAUAGGCUGAUAAUCAGUUAUAUUUUCAGGCCUUUCACUUUAGGUGGUAUACCGACUUCAAAUGUAGCGAAGACUAUCUUCGUUUUGUUAACAGAAACUUUGAAUAAUCAUAAUAUAUU
Carica papaya (papaya) is the source of this 1418-nucleotide RNA transcript. It is a transcript of the gene named cytoplasmic dynein 2 light intermediate chain, with no coding region annotated. The record is from RefSeq and is a predicted model, not a curated record. NCBI's taxonomy places the organism in Eukaryota, Viridiplantae, Streptophyta, Magnoliopsida, Brassicales, Caricaceae.